This is a long non-coding RNA of Oreochromis aureus, 673 nucleotides long. NCBI's taxonomy places the organism in Eukaryota, Metazoa, Chordata, Actinopteri, Cichliformes, Cichlidae. The record is from Ensembl.
GCAAUUUCUUUGUAGGAAGGACCUACAUUUUUAAGUGUUAUGAUGCUGCUCACAAGGGUAUGGUACCACAGUGUGUUCCAACACUGCUUUAUACAGACAAAGGAGGUUGUAAGUAGAAAAUUUGGAACACCUGUAGGAAUAAGUAGCACCAGCUCUCAAGACUUGAUUGACUUCCAUUGCUGCAGAACAAUUUUAAAUUGUUAACCCAUUUUGUGUUCCCUGAAAAAGGAGUUUUUUGUAUAAUUCUGAAAUGUACAUUGAUGAUAACAUGAUGUCCUGGUGGUAUGACAUUUCGCAUAAAUGUCAACAAGGCUAAUGUGAUAGUACAGAAAAAGCAACGUGUAUAUAUAUACCAACUAUACCAAUCCAUGAUUUCAAUGAUUUGUUCCAUUAUUUUUCGGGCUGUUCAGGUGCGACUGCCUCUGAACCAAAGCCAGCUGGUCGGGGUUGGUCCCAGAAGUCCUCAACAACAUCCCAAAGCAGGAGCAUUUUGCAGGCAUUUCAGGCAUCCUCCCAAAAGCCUUCUCGAACUGGAGCCACCAAAUCUUAUGCAGAUGAAGUGAUCAUUGAUGACUCAGAUGAGGAUAUACCUGUAACAAAAGCUGCCCGACCCCCUCCAAAGUAUGUUUGUAUAAACCUAGACUGUAGAAGUGUUAUAUAGUGUUAUAUUUUG